Molecule: ribosomal RNA, 397 nt
Filed under: uncultured bacterium
Lineage: Bacteria
Description: bacterial SSU rRNA
Rfam family: Bacterial small subunit ribosomal RNA
Source: RNAcentral
AAUCAACGCUGGCGGCGUGCCUCAGACAUGCAAGUCGAACGCGAAAUCCCGAGCAAUCGGGAGAGUAGAGUGGCGCACGGGUGAGUAACACGUAGGUAAUCUACCUUCGGAUGGGGAAUAACAACCGGAAACGGUUGCUAAUACCGCAUAAUGCAGCGGCACCUAAUGGUGACAGUUGUUAAAGCGGGGGAUCGAAAGACCUCGCGUCUGAAGAGGAGCCUGCGGCGGAUUAGCUAGUUGGUAAGGUAAUGGCUUACCAAGGCAACGAUCCGUAACCGGCCUGAGAGGGCGGUCGGUCACACUGACACUGACAUACGGGUCAGACUCCUACGGGAGGCAGCAGUCGGGAAUUUUGGGCAAUGGGCGAAAGCCUGACCCAGCAACGCCGCGUGAAGGA